AUAUAUAUCAUAUAUAUAUAUAUAUGUGUGUGUGUGUGUGUGUGUGUGUGUGUGUAUUACACACACACAUGCAUUAUACAUAUUU
RNAcentral lists this microRNA precursor (85 nucleotides) under Ovis aries (sheep). RNAcentral describes it as "miRNA (ENSOARG00000023972.1)". Lineage: Eukaryota; Metazoa; Chordata; Mammalia; Artiodactyla; Bovidae. The record is from RNAcentral.